Long non-coding RNA from Dicentrarchus labrax (European seabass), 1604 nucleotides. RefSeq lists it as uncharacterized. The transcript has 3 exons. The record is from RefSeq and is a predicted model, not a curated record. Lineage: Eukaryota; Metazoa; Chordata; Actinopteri; Moronidae.
ACAGAAGCCCCGCUCCGGCUCCGGCUCCGGCUGGGUGCUGCUGGUGCUGCUGGUGGUGGAGGAGGUGGAGGAGGAGAAAAAACCACGCAGAAAAACAAAUCAAGCGCACUCACAAGUGGAUGUAUUAAUACUCACAGGAAACAGACAGGCCCACUGACGUCAACGGGGGUCCCGUCUCCGCCUCUCAGCCGCGGGGGUGUCCUCGUCCUGCAGCGGGGGGAUCCCGACGGCCGGAGCCACAGCCGCAGCGACCGAGUGACUCCUCGUCCUGACACCGAGGAGACGGUUUCAGCCUUCAGGAUCCGUGUUCCUGAAGGGUCCCCCCCCCGACCAACAGUUAUAUACACAGGCAACAAAACGAGGUGCUUGCAGCUUACGUGAGAUGCAGACCAACCACAGCCACCAGAGCGGACACACUCUUGACAUCAUCCUCCAAAAUCUUCAUUUACACAGUAUUACUUUAAUUAUAACCGCAGGCAUCUUCUUCAUCUCUGUUUUUAUUUGCUGAAUAUUGUCAUUGAUCCUCCAUUGUUACCACUACAUGUUCUUUUCUUUAUACAAGAUCGUAAUUAAAUUGGCGUUUUUGGGCCCGUAUAAAUUAAAUUACUUGACCCCUCACACUUUGAAAUAUCCAAGCAUCAACCUACAGACCUAAUAAAAAAGGUCUUUUUGGACAUCCCCAAACUCCCUGCCUUGUCAGUUAAGACUUUUGUCAGUGCGGUCAUAUAAUGGUCAUAUUAAAAAAGAAGGGGACUUCCUCAACUGCCCCCACAGCAGUGUUAGUGUAUGGCAGCGAGGGGCUAUUAAUAUCCUGGAGUGGUUACAGAAAAUAAGCACAGCUGCCCAGCAGAUCUGUCCUCCUGAACAAUAGCCUCUUAUGUGAAGGGAAGGCACUGCUGUUUGUGUCCUCUGCUAACCGAUACCCCGUUCAAGGAGGUUCUUGUGCCGCUUUUAUAUCUUUGUCUCUCAGUUCGUAUCAUAAAUAGAUAUUUAUUGAACGCGACCUUCCAAAGAAAGACAGUAUUCAUAAGGGAAUGCCUGAGUGUCCUAUUUCUCUUGGCACACAGCGAGGCAUUUGGAUAAAGAUUGAUGUUGCUGAAGUAUUUAUAGGGUGGCGUCCUUUUUUUUUUAUCCUUUCUUUUCUCUGUACGCUUCCUUUUGCUGAGGAUAUGCAAAAAAGAAACCGGACGCAUAAACACCCUAAAAUAAAUACAGUAUAAUUGUUUUGGCACCCCUGGCUGGCCCCGUGUAGAUAACCUCUACCUUAUAUCACACUGGACAGUUUUCCAUUUAAACACCAUUAGAGGAUCCAGUAGCAGAGUGCAAACAGCCGCUCUCCUCCCUAACAAACUAUAUCUCAGGGUUUUCAAUUAGAGGGACCACGCGUGGCAGUAAAAGGUGAAUUAUGAGGCAGUAAUGUCCACUGCUCUCAGGGUAAUUUGUAUCCAUAAAGGGCUUUUUCAUCAUUAAUGUAACACACACACACACACACACAGGCUUCUUACAGUCUAUUUUACUGUAUAUUUUAUUAAUAUUUCCUUUAUUCUUUGUACUAUAUUUCCAUAUGCUGCUGAGGGAGAUCAAUAAAGGAACAUUAUAUCUCA